This 775-nucleotide ribosomal RNA is filed under the name uncultured Neocallimastigales. RNAcentral's name for it is "partial large subunit ribosomal RNA". It matches the Rfam family "Eukaryotic large subunit ribosomal RNA", at positions 22 to 645 of the family's 3401-position model. The record is from RNAcentral. Lineage: Eukaryota; Fungi; Neocallimastigomycota; Neocallimastigomycetes; Neocallimastigales.
AUAUCAGUCAUGCAUGCAUAUCAAUAAGCGGAGGAAAAGAAACUAACAAGGAUUCCCUUAGUAACGGCGAGUGAAGCGGGAAGAGCUCAAAUUUGAAAUCUUCAAGGUUCUACCUUGACGAAUUGUAGUUUAUAGAAGUGUUUUCUGUUAGUAGAGUGGCAAAAGUUCUUUGGAAUAGGACAUCAUAGAGGGUGAGAAUCCCGUAUUUGGUCAUUCUUUCUAGCUUUGUGAUACACUUUCAACGAGUCGGAUUGUUUGGGAAUGCAGUCCAAAAUGGGUGGUAAAUUUCAUCUAAAGCUAAAUAUUGGCGAGAGACCGAUAGCGAACAAGUACCGUGAGGGAAAGAUGAAAAGAACUUUGAAAAGAGAGUUAACCAGUACGUGAAAUUGUCAAAAGGGAAGCGUUUGACACCAGUGUUGUUUUUCCGAAAAUCAAUUACGAAUGUUUUGUUUUUAAGAAGUUAUGACUUCAUCGGCUUGCUUCUUUCUUUACGAAACUUUCUUAAUGCACUUUUCGGUUAACAAGUCAACAUCAAUUUCUUUUGUUGUAAAAGGGUAUGAGGAAGGUGGCUUUCUAUUCGGAGAAAGUGUUUAUAGCCUUGUGCCUCUGCAAUCGGAGAGAUUGAGGUCUGCAGCGUAGAUCCUUCGGGGUUAGAUACAUUUGUGCUAAGAUAUAGCUUUUCAUAGACAACUUGUUGACUAUGAUUCAGUCAUUGUAGCUUACUCGCUUAUGCUAUUUUACCUACGCUUAGGAUGUUGAUCUCUCACAGUCGAGC